This 315-nucleotide ribosomal RNA is filed under the name Triticum aestivum (bread wheat). RNAcentral's name for it is "partial small subunit ribosomal RNA". Lineage: Eukaryota; Viridiplantae; Streptophyta; Magnoliopsida; Poales; Poaceae. The record is from RNAcentral.
AUGGAAGGCAUGCUGCACGGCGUGCCGUUCCUCUGCUGGCCGUACUUCGCUGACCAGUUCGCCAACCAGAGCUACGUGUGCAACGUGUGGGGCACCGGCAUCAAGCUUUGCCGAGACGAGCGAGGGGUCGUCACCAAGGAGGAGAUCGAGAGCAAGGUGCCACGGCUGCUCGGCGACGAGGGGGUCAAGGCGAGGGCUGCGACGUGGAAGGACAAGGCUUGUGCGAGCAUUGCAGAGGGAGGAUCCUCGCAUCAGUGCCUUCUCAAGAUUGUGAACUUGCUCGGAGAGGCGGGAUCCCAUCCCAUCACCGCGUGA